Neofelis nebulosa (Clouded leopard) is the source of this 2069-nucleotide long non-coding RNA. RefSeq lists it as uncharacterized. The transcript has 5 exons. NCBI's taxonomy places the organism in Eukaryota, Metazoa, Chordata, Mammalia, Carnivora, Felidae. The record is from RefSeq and is a predicted model, not a curated record.
UUGAACUUGUUAACUGCCUUCCUUCCUCUUGAAUGCCCCAUCUUUCUCCCACAGAUGGGCUAAGCUAAGCCCUCUGCUGACCUGAGCCUUCCUCUCUGGCUUCCUCCCCAGUCUUGUCAAAGCUCAGAGAGAGUUCUGUGACAACAAGAAGGCAAGAUGGAUGUUGGUUCCCUUAGGAAGACUCGAAAAGUCACAAGGGGUCACAAAAGAGCAAAAGGCAGGAUUUCAUUCGUCCAUCUGGCCAGGAGAUGAGGCCUAACAGCCUUUUGCAGGCCUUCAUUAAUUUGGGUUCCUACACGGCUGCAUGGAGGAGAGCUGCUCUGACAUCCAAGGAACAAGAAAUGAACAAUUGGGGGCAUCUGGCUGGCUCAGUUGGGAUAUUUGUCUCCUUACAGUUCACUUUUCAGCUCUGGAAACUGAAUGGCACAGGUCUGGCUUGAUAACUGAGGACCAUCUUCAGUGGUCUACAUUCCAAGGUCAAGAGAGUCCAAAUCUGGUAAAAGGGCUGCAGGAUGGAUACCUCCACCCCAAGCUUCAGUGAUGAAAUGAAGUCAUUGUGCUAGAGGGCUCCCAUCCUGGUCACCUCAUUUUCUACACUCUCAAUAUGGCUCCCUGAACACAGUCUGGGGCCAAGAGAUCAACGAUGACAAAAAGAAAUGAUCAAUAAGAAAAGGCGGCUCUCGGCGACCUGGGACUAAGCCUCCGAGGGGCGGUGGGGAGGACCUCGGCCCGAUCCUCGCUCUCCGGCCGCCAGCGCCCCCUCCCGGCAGGCGGGCGCACAGCAGCGGCGCACAGGCCGACGCUGCCCUUCCCGGGACUUCAGGUCUUUCUCUCCGCUCCCCACGCGGCCGCUCCCGCCGCCGGCGCCCCCUCGGCACGCGCCGCCUCGUCCAGUCUUACAGGCCUGUCGCGGCUCGGCCAUCCCGGCCCACGCAGCCCGCGCACUCGCAUGCCCAGCACCCCUUUCCCCCUGAAAAGUUUCUGGACGGUGGGGACUAUUUUCUUCUACUGUAACCUUCCACCAAACUGGAGGGAAAAGUUAACCCGAGGCCCGGGAAGGGCCGCGCGGCAGGGGGCCCCCGAGGGAGCACGGCCUUGGGAGAGAUGUCCCUUGUGCCUGGCAAGGAAUAGUUGUGCUCCCAAACCAGAGUUGUGUGUUGGGUUAGGUGUAAAAGGUGAGCGGUGGUGCUACAUAUUUAAGAUGGAGAUUUAAAACAAUUAAUAUAGAUUGCACCAGACAAAUGGUUCUUGUCUUCAGACCUUGCAGUUCCUUGCAUAGAUUCUCAUGUCUGUCUUACACGGAAGCAAGGUCCCCCUGGGAACGACCUCUUAACUCCUAGAGACAAAAGGCAAGCCUUGAGACCGUUCCUUGGGGCAGUCUGCUGAAUUCUACUGCAUUCUGGAGAGUAAACAACCUAUAGAAAUAUUUAGUGAUUAGGAAAAUCCACUAGACCUGUAUUUUUCAAACUGCGAGUGGCAAAAUCAGUUCGACGAGAAUAUUAGGGAAGGAGAGACUAGGCGAGUAGGGGAGGGAGGGAAGAAAGGAAAGAACCCAGAAUAAAAGAAUAGAAAAGUAUCACAUAGUAAGGAACAAUAUGCUUUCAUGAAACCUGUGUUGUAAGAGAAUACUGUGUGUGUUUGCAUGUACCAGGCCGAAAUGUAGAAUAAUUUCUUAGUGGCUUGGUGUCAAAAAAUGUUUGAAAACCUCUGCACUAGACAGUCUGAUUUAUGCCUCUAUACUUAUCUCAUUUUAAAGAACGCAGCCUUUAAUUAUCUCUCUUGCUUAUCUUCACAUCUCAGCAUCUGCUAUUAUUUGUGAAUAAUUUAUCUUCUUAAAGCUAUUAUUUCAGUAAAGAAAGCUAUAACUUAAAAUAUGAAAGCAGUUCUGUCAAGCUCCCCUUUCUCUACGGCCCCUCUUCUACUCUGUAACCUGGGCUUAUGGCUACAUUCCAAAUGUGUCUGAAGACCCUGUCUCCAGUGCAGUCGCAAGAAGCCUGGGUUGCUGGGAUAUUAUGUAAUCAAAUACUCCCCAUAUCUAUUUUUUUUUAAUUUAUAUUUAUUUUAAAAUA